UGGGGAAUAUUGGACAAUGGGGGGAACCCUGAUCCAGCCAUGCCGCGUGUGUGAAGAAGGCCUUAUGGUUGUAAAGCACUUUAAGCGAGGAGGAGGGUACUGGUAUUAAUACUACCAGGUACUGGACGUUACUCGCAGAAUAAGCACCGGCUAACUCUGUGCCAGCAGCCGCGGUAAUACAGAGGGUGCGAGCGUUAAUCGGAUUUACUGGGCGUAAAGCGUGCGUAGGCGGCUAAUUGAGUCGGAUGUGAAAUCCCUGAGCUUAACUUGGGAAUUGCAUUCGAUACUGGUUAGCUAGAGUGUGGGAGAGGAUGGUAGAAUUCCAGGUGUAGCGGUGAGAUGCGUGGAGAUCUGGAGGAAUACCGAUGGCGAAGGCAGCCAUCUGGCCUAACACUGACGCUGAGGUACGAAAGCAUGGGGAGCAAACAGG
RNAcentral lists this ribosomal RNA (430 nucleotides) under Pseudomonadota bacterium. RNAcentral describes it as "Proteobacteria bacterium partial 16S ribosomal RNA". It matches the Rfam family "Bacterial small subunit ribosomal RNA", at positions 355 to 776 of the family's 1533-position model. The record is from RNAcentral. Lineage: Bacteria; Pseudomonadati; Pseudomonadota.